AACAAGGCGUACCUGCGGACCUGCGGAGGGAUCAUUACUGAGUCACGUGCUCGAACAACCCUUCUGUGGACCUGAAAUAAAACCGUUGCCUCGGCGGGCGGUCCCCCCCAAACCAACCCCACGUGGUGGGUUAGGGGAGACCAGACAGUCCGGUACGCUUAAGGCGUCCGGCGCCAGCCGCUGGCCCCAAACAAUUAAACUCUAGUAAUCUUUACCUUCUGAGUUUCAAUAUUUAAAAAU
This 240-nucleotide unclassified non-coding RNA is filed under the name soil metagenome. RNAcentral describes it as "partial contains 5.8S ribosomal RNA, internal transcribed spacer 2, and large subunit ribosomal RNA". The record is from RNAcentral.